CAGUGUUUAUACGGGCAAGU
Molecule: non-coding RNA, 20 nt
Filed under: Arabidopsis thaliana (thale cress)
Lineage: Eukaryota; Viridiplantae; Streptophyta; Magnoliopsida; Brassicales; Brassicaceae
Source: RNAcentral